UUAAAAAGCUCGUAGUUGGAUCUCGGCGGUCUGAGGGCGGUUCGCUUGAUUGAGUGCUACUGCUCUAUAGGCCGUGGUUUUGCCAGAGGUCUCGGGGUGCUCUUAACCGAGUGUCCUGCGAUGCUGGCAGGUUUACUUUGAAAAAAUUAGAGUGCUCAAAGCAGGCUUUUACGCCUGAAUAUUCGUGCAUGGAAUAAUAGAAUAGGAAGUCGUUUCUAUUUUGUUGGUUUUCGGAAAUCGACUUAAUGAUUAAUAGGGACAGUCGGGGGCAUUUGUAUUCAAACGACAGAGGUGAAAUUCUUGGACCGUUUGAAGACAAACUACUGCGAAAGCAUU
This 336-nucleotide ribosomal RNA is filed under the name uncultured marine eukaryote. RNAcentral's name for it is "SSU rRNA". It matches the Rfam family "Eukaryotic small subunit ribosomal RNA", at positions 619 to 955 of the family's 1831-position model. The record is from RNAcentral.